Molecule: ribosomal RNA, 497 nt
Filed under: uncultured bacterium
Lineage: Bacteria
Description: partial 16S ribosomal RNA
Rfam family: Bacterial small subunit ribosomal RNA
Source: RNAcentral
GAUGAACGCUGGCGGCGUGCCUAAUACAUGCAAGUCGAGCGAACAGACGAGGAGCUUGCUCCUCUGACGUUAGCGGCGGACGGGUGAGUAACACGUGGAUAACCUACCUAUAAGACUGGGAUAACUUCGGGAAACCGGAGCUAAUACCGGAUAAUAUAUUGAACCGCAUGGUUCAAUAGUGAAAGACGGUUUUGCUGUCACUUAUAGAUGGAUCCGCGCCGCAUUAGCUAGUUGGUAAGGUAACGGCUUACCAAGGCAACGAUGCGUAGCCGACCUGAGAGGGUGAUCGGCCACACUGGAACUGAGACACGGUCCAGACUCCGACGGGAGGCAGCAGUAGGGAAUCGUCCGCAAUGGGCGAAGGCCUGACGGAGCAAAGCCGCGUGAGUGAUGAAGGUCUUCGGAUCGUAAAACUCUGUUAUUAGGGAAGAAAAAAUGUGUAAGUAACUAUGCACGUCUUGACGGUACCUAAUCAGAAAGCCACGGCUAACUACGUG